Molecule: ribosomal RNA, 197 nt
Filed under: uncultured soil bacterium
Lineage: Bacteria
Description: partial 16S ribosomal RNA
Rfam family: Bacterial small subunit ribosomal RNA
Source: RNAcentral
AGGACGAACGCUGGCGGCGUGCUUAACACAUGCAAGUCGAGCGACAGUGUUCUUCGGAACAUAUGGAGCGGCGAACGGGUGAGUAACACGUGGGCAACCUGCCCCUAGCUCUGGGAUAACGUCCGGGAAACCGGGGCUAAUACUGGAUACGAUCUUCCAUGGCAUCUCGGAAGAUGGAAAGUUUUUCGGCUAGGGAU